UAUAUAAAACUAGCGGCCGCUAACGCCUUUCCCUCUUUACUCCCUGUCAUCCGCGGUGAGGCGGAAGAGUUAUAUACAGCUUUUCGGAUCAACUGAAAAACAGCAGCCUAUCCAUUCUCUGCAACCAUGGUCACCUACACAGAAUGCAGAUUUUCAGCAACCUUAAAGCAGCAGGAGGAGGACCUGGCUACAGAUUCCUCUUACAGGUGAUGGACCGAGCUGAUCCAGGUGCAACAGAACUGUAGAGUGUCGAGGCAUUAAUCUGCUCAUGACAUCCCAUUGCCACUGUCCAGUGGGGGUGCACGCACAUCUUCCACCUGACGGUCCAGCAGGAUGGGGGGGAUGAUGUGCUGGAGUCUGUUGGAGCAUGAGGAAAAGUUCUGAAGACUGAACCGGAACUAAAGGAGCUGAGUUUUAAUGAAUGUAACCUUAAACCAUGUUAAAUGCAGUGCAAUAAAAGGUGAACUC
This is a long non-coding RNA of Melanotaenia boesemani (Boeseman's rainbowfish), 468 nucleotides long. RefSeq lists it as uncharacterized. Lineage: Eukaryota; Metazoa; Chordata; Actinopteri; Atheriniformes; Melanotaeniidae. The transcript has 6 exons. The record is from RefSeq and is a predicted model, not a curated record.